GUAUCACCUUUUGAGUUUGUUCUUGUGGGUUUCGAGGAGUUUAAAAGCCUUCUGAUUUGCUAGGAUUGGGCUCUUUUGGUGUACUUUCUCGUACGGUUAGUCAACAUCGGUUUUGAAUGUCAUAAAAUGACUGGAGGAAUGUGGCUUCGAUCUCGUAUCGAAGUGUUAUAACCUUUGGUAGAUGUGAUGUUCGAGACCGAGGAUUGCAACGGAUACCUUCUGGGCUAUUCGUCUGAUCUCUGAUACGUUGCCUUGAUGUCGAAAGCGUGCUUAUGAUGUUAGGGUAUUACGGUCAAAAGGUUAGAACGGAUUAAAUUCGUUAAGGAUGUUGACGUA
This 336-nucleotide ribosomal RNA is filed under the name uncultured Glomeromycotina. RNAcentral's name for it is "eukaryotic LSU rRNA". The record is from RNAcentral. Lineage: Eukaryota; Fungi; Glomeromycota.